AUCAUUUCUUGGCCUUUUGGCUAAGAUCAAGUGUAUUAUUAUUAUAGAAUAUGUUCUCAGAUAAAGAAAAAACUGAGAGUUUUCUCAGAUUUUUCAGACUUUUA
Callithrix jacchus (white-tufted-ear marmoset) is the source of this 104-nucleotide small nuclear RNA. Its record names the gene U2. It matches the Rfam family "U2 spliceosomal RNA". From Rfam's summary of the family: U2 is a small nuclear RNA (snRNA) component of the spliceosome (involved in pre-mRNA splicing). Complementary binding between U2 snRNA (in an area lying towards the 5' end but 3' to hairpin I) and the branchpoint sequence (BPS) of the intron results the bulging out of an unpaired adenosine, on the BPS, which initiates a nucleophilic attack at the intronic 5' splice site, thus starting the first of two transesterification reactions that mediate splicing. Lineage: Eukaryota; Metazoa; Chordata; Mammalia; Primates; Cebidae. The record is from Ensembl.